CUUGAGGAGUAAGAGUGUUAACUAAAGUUGUUUAUUACUUGAUUUUUCUUUUGGCUCUGCAUUCCCAGGCCUCCCUAAAAGGACAGAGAGAGGACCAGUCCAUCCAAUACACAAGCGCAAGGCCCCUGUGCCAUGUACUGUGUUUAACAACGACGCUGGCUUUGGUGGAGUACAGACACACAUAUGUGCUACAGGAAGCAUGGCCAAAGAAGCCUCAGGAAACUUACAGUCAUGGCAGAAGGUUAAGAGGAAGGAGGCACAUCCUACAUGGCUGGCGCAGGAGAAAGAAAGAGAGUGGGGAGGUGCCACACACUUUUAAACAAUCAGAUCCCAUGAGAACUCACUAUCCUUAGAACAGCAGAGGCAAAAUAUGCCCACAAGAUCCAAUCACCAGGCCCUACCUCCAACACUGGUGAUUACAGUUCGAUAUAAGAUUUGGAUUGGGACACAAAUCCAAACCAUAUCAACUGUCAUUCAUGGCCAGGAUGUUCUACUGAAUAGCAGCCUUGCUCUAUUUGAAAAUAUAGAGUUUUAGGCCAGGUGUGGUGGCUCACACCUAUAAUCCCAGCACUUUGGGAGGCCGAGGUGGGUGGAUCACGAGGUCAAGAGAUCGAGACCAUCCUGGUCAACAUGGUGAAACCCCGUCUCUACUAAAAAUACAAAAAUUAGCUGGGCAUGGGGGCUGGUGCCUAUAGUCCCAGCUACUUGGGAGGCUGAGGCAGGAGAAUUGCUUGAACCCAGGAGGCGGAAGUUGCGGUGAGCCAAGAUCGUGCCAUUGCACUCCAGUCUGGGUAACAAGAGUGAAACUCCAUCUCAAAAAAAAAAAAGAAAAAAAGAAAAUAUAGAGUUCUGAGUGGAUGCAGUGGCUUACACUUGUAAUCCCAGCAUUUUGGGAGGUUGAUACAGGUGGAUUACCUGAGGACCAUUCAAAACCAGCCUGACCAACAUGGUGAAACCCUGUAUCUACUAAAUACAAAAAAUUAGCUGGGUGUGGUGGCACAUGCCUGUAAUCCCAGCUACUUGGGAGUGGGGCAGGAGAAUCACUUGAACCUGAGAGACAGAAGUUGCAGUGAGCCAAGAUCACACUGUUGCACUCCAGCUUAUGCAACAAAAGUGAAACUGUCUCAAAAAAAAAUAAAGAAAAGAAAAAGGAAAUGUAGAGUUCUUCGUUUAUUUCUUGUCUUAUCUGCUAGAUUGUAAGCUCCAUUACUGUAGGGACUAUGCUUGUGA
RNAcentral lists this long non-coding RNA (1230 nucleotides) under Callithrix jacchus (white-tufted-ear marmoset). RNAcentral describes it as "lncRNA (ENSCJAG00000086931.1)". Lineage: Eukaryota; Metazoa; Chordata; Mammalia; Primates; Cebidae. The record is from RNAcentral.